Molecule: non-coding RNA, 45 nt
Filed under: Schistosoma bovis
Lineage: Eukaryota; Metazoa; Platyhelminthes; Trematoda; Strigeidida; Schistosomatidae
Also listed under: 1 other name
Source: RNAcentral
AUCCAGCUAACGAGUCCUAAAUAGGACGAAACGCGUGUCCUGGAU